CCUGCCCAUUGAUAUUUUUAAAAGGCUGCGGUAUAUUGACCGUACAAAGGUAGCAUAAUCAUUAGUUUUUUAAUUGAGAACUUGUAUGAAUGGUUGAAUGAGAAAUGAACUUUUUUAAUAAAAAAAUUGAAUUUUACAUUUUAAUUAAAAGGUUGAAAUAUAUUUAAAAGACGAGAAGACCCUAUAGAGUUUUAUAAUUUAUAUUUAAUAUUAAAAAAAUUUAAUAGAUAUUUUUAUUUAAAUAAUUAUUUUGUUGGGGUGAUGAUAAAAUUUAACUAACUUUUAUUUUUUUUUACAUUAAUAUAUGGGAAAUUGAUCCACUAUUAGUGAUUAAAAGAUUAAAUUACCUUAGGGAUAACAGCGUAAUUUUUUUUUUAAGUUCAUAUUAAUAAAAAAUUUUGCGACCUCGAUGUUGGAUUAAGAUUUAAUUUUAGGUGCAGAAGUUUAAAAUUUAAGUCUGUUC
RNAcentral lists this ribosomal RNA (463 nucleotides) under Pseudolycoriella tewaipounamu. RNAcentral's name for it is "partial large subunit ribosomal RNA". Lineage: Eukaryota; Metazoa; Arthropoda; Insecta; Diptera; Sciaridae. The record is from RNAcentral.